UCAUACUCAAGAUACUUAAUACUUGAUUGCUUUUGCACCAAAUAAAAGUAAACUGAACUAUUACAUUUCUUGCUUUCAUUCAUAAUUCUUUACAUUUAGCCAUUCACCAAAUUACAUAUUUGUUAUCAACUUUACAACUUUCUAAAUCAAUAAAAGAAGUUGAUACAUGUAAACCAAAAGGGAAAUGACUACAAAAUGUGAAAUAGUCCCGGUGGCCGCUAUCUACGGCGCUAAACCCUUGCCUCGGUCCUCCGCUGUCCCGCUAGUGCUAGGACCUGUAGGGUUAGUGGUGUGAGAA
RNAcentral lists this long non-coding RNA (298 nucleotides) under Ananas comosus (pineapple). RNAcentral's name for it is "long non-coding RNA (ACOM_LNC037067)". The record is from RNAcentral. Lineage: Eukaryota; Viridiplantae; Streptophyta; Magnoliopsida; Poales; Bromeliaceae.